AGACACGAAGGAGAAGAGAGCGAAGGUAGCACUUCGUAAUACCUGGGCAAUGUUUAUUCUUAUAUUCCUAUAAUCUUAAUUUUUUUACAAUUAUUUAUUUUUGAAAAAGUUUUAUUAAAUAAUUAAUUUUUAUAUUUUAAGGGCGUUUUGGAAAUUAACCCCCUAUUUACCGACUAUCCUCUCUAUAUAUGCCUAGAAACCCCUUAAUUUUAAAACUCAUCCCUGCAAUUUCUUCUUUUGAUCUCCUCCCAUGAGAGACUAGGAGAUAGAGAAGGAGAGAAAGAGCGAGUCUCGCUAAAGGUUCAUCUUUUGGGCUCUUUUGUAGGACUUCCUCUCCCUCCUCCUCUAUCCCAUGGCCACUCAUGCAAAAUAUUACUAUCUAUCCUCUCUAUUGUACCUUGAAGUCCCUUAAGUUAAAACUCAUCCCUGUAGUUUUUUUCUUUUGAUCUCCUCCCAUGAGAGCCUAGGAGACAAAGGGAAAGAGAAAGAGAGUCUUGCUAAAGUUCCAACCUUUGGGCUCUUCUUUGUAGGACUUUCUUUCUCUCCCCCUCCUGUCCCCAUAGCCCUCAUGCGAAUCCAAAAAAGAAGAUAGAGUCUCCCUCAUGACAGGCUAGGAGAUAAGAGGGAGAGGGAGAAAAGUCUUUGUUGGGUUGCUUGUGAUAAGACCAAGAAUGUGUAAAGCUAGUAUUUGGUUAUUGUCAAAGCAGAAGAAAAAAGGACAAAAACAUUUGCAGUUGAGUGGGAGAAAGGGUAAGAAAUCUUUGUGGAAUCUUGCUUCAAUCUUCUUUGCCUUGCUUUUCGUUGAUCUAUGUUCUUAUCAAGAAAGCCUUCUAAGAUGAUUACGCAUGUAGAAAAUAUUAUCUUCUUUAAAAUUUUAUUGUCUUUAAUAUUACAAAGUUUGUGAAGGUAGCACCUGGGGAGGCACGAAGAAGCACAGAAAAAGAGAAAGGAAAUGAGAGAGAAGAGAGUGAAGGUAGCCCCUGAUAGUACUUGGGUUGUGUUUCAGGACUAAGAGUGAGGAUUCUUUGCCAAAACUGGAAAUCUGCAACUCGGGAAAUGGGCAACCGAUCUAUCUCUACAAAUGGAUAGACUGGAAUUCUCCACUCUAGUCAAAUUUGACUUUCAUGGACGCAACCAUCAUUACCAUAGGCGCCACCAAACGAGUAACUCGUUUCUUUUAAUUUCUUCUUUGAGCAAGCUAGCAUGUUGCUAAUCUUCAUAGGAAAAAUACUCUAUAGCAACACUUACAGUCCUCGAUAUGGAAAUCACCUAAACUUUUCAUGCAGUCAUGGUAGUACAAAGUAACCACCUCCUGGUUUUCCGGCUCAAGAAAAGAAGUCAAACCUGGAGUUUUGAACCCCAUAUAUAGAAACUAGACUCGCAGAACACAAUGCCUAGAUGGGAGGGCAAGAGGCCUUGAUGAGAAGAAAAGAGACCUCGGUAAGAAAUUUGCAAGUACAGAUUAGUCAACUUGCCAACAUUAGAUUAGAACGUAUAGAAAUGUCCUUCUUGAGCAAUACUAAAAACAAUUCCCACAAAUAGGUAAAAGGCUAUUAAAUUGAGGUGCGAAGAAUAAUUAAAUGAACUAACCAAUGAUAAAGAACCUAAAGAGAAGCAAGAUAAGAGGCAUGAAACAACCAAGAGAACCAAAAGAAAAGAUUAUACGCUUCCUGAAAAGUAAACAAGAUAAUUAAGAUGAGCAGUUUUCUGAAGUUUCAGAUAUAUUUAUGGAAUUGCACAUCAACAUUCUUUCUGUAGCAGCUUUGUCUUAGAUGCCCAACUGUAAGGGGUAGGUACUAGAAUUUAUUAACAAGAAGAACAAAUGAUUAUGAUUGUAAAGUUCAAUAUGGAAAGUUUAGGAUGUAUCUUAUUGGUAAUAUGAAGUGUAGUACAUUUUUAUGACUAUCAUGAUUAAAUUAUCAUAUACAUAUAGUCUGAGUUGAUAUUUAGAUGUCAUUAUAAUAUUGAUAUCUCAUAUGUUUUGAAGUAGUCACAGUACGUUAACUCAUUAUAUCUGUAUUUUAUCACAUUUUUUAAGGUAAUCAUAAAAGUUAAUCAAUAACAUCUAAAAUUCUAAUUAAUUUACUGAAAUAGUUGCAAAUUUUUUUGGUGAAUACUUGAAAAACAAAUGUUGACUCGAUGUUACUAUGAAAGUUUUUUAGACCCACAAUUAAGAAGUGAUUGUUAGUGUUACUUUUGUAAGUUUUAUUAAAUAAAGAUAAAUAAAUUCUUAGGAAUGCAAUGCCCACAUGAAGGUUGAGAUUUACUUAUAUAAGUUAAAAUUUUCGGUAUAUUUUCCUCAAUUUAUAGUUAUUCUUAUUGUUAUUUUUUUUUUAUUCUCAAAUUCAAUGUAUUUGCGACAAUUUUUUCUUAAGUUACAAUGUUCAACAUUCGAAUAAAAAAUACCUUAGGUAUAAUGCUUGACAUAAAUAGAAGUGUGAAUGACAUAGUAAAGAAAUAAGGGACAUUAUUGUGCCGUGUAAUAAGGAAUAAGGUAAUACUUGCACCUAUUUAUAUUAUAAAUCUUGUUGGAGUUUCUGGUAAUACUGAGUUAGUUAAUUGAGUUAUUACAAUCCUCGUUUUUAACAAUGUUUAAAGUUUUAUAAACUUGAGAAGCUUGUAAGAAGUGAAUAAUGCAUCUAUUAUAUAAAUACACAAGUUCCUAAUUUACUGGGUACAUAUAUAUUAGAGGGUAUAACUUCUGCACAAAUGUGUAAUUAAGAUUCCAAAAUUUUAUUAUCUUCAAUUAAAUAUCAUUUAAUUAUUAAAAUUAAUAUCAUUAUUUUACUGUCAUAAGACAUGUUACA
Molecule: long non-coding RNA, 2807 nt
Filed under: Carica papaya (papaya)
Lineage: Eukaryota; Viridiplantae; Streptophyta; Magnoliopsida; Brassicales; Caricaceae
Description: long non-coding RNA (CPAP_LNC010680)
Source: RNAcentral